CAGCCGCCGCGGUAACACGUAGGUGGCAAGCGUUGUCCGGAAUUAUUGGGCGUAAAGGGCUCGCAGGCGGUUUCUUAAGUCUGAUGUGAAAGCCCCCGGCUCAACCGGGGAGGGUCAUUGGAAACUGGGAAACUUGAGUGCAGAAGAGGAUAGUAGAAUUCCAGGUGUAGUGGUGAAAUACGUAGAUAUCUGGAGGAAUACCGGUGGCGAAGGCGGCUAUCUGGCUAUGUACUGACGCUGAGAUACGAAAGCGUGGGGAGCAAACAGGAUUAGAGACCCCUGUAGUCCCUGUCUCUUAUAC
This 301-nucleotide ribosomal RNA is filed under the name uncultured bacterium. Its description in RNAcentral is "partial 16S ribosomal RNA". It matches the Rfam family "Bacterial small subunit ribosomal RNA", at positions 509 to 807 of the family's 1533-position model. The record is from RNAcentral.